This 301-nucleotide ribosomal RNA is filed under the name uncultured bacterium. RNAcentral describes it as "partial 16S ribosomal RNA". It matches the Rfam family "Bacterial small subunit ribosomal RNA", at positions 509 to 807 of the family's 1533-position model. The record is from RNAcentral.
CAGUCGCCACGGUAAUACGAAGGGGGCUAGCGUUGCUCGGAAUCACUGGGCGUAAAGGGUGCGUAGGCGGGUUUUUAAGUCAGAGGUGAAAUCCUGGAGCUCAACUCCAGAACUGCCUUUGAUACUGAAAGUCUUGAGUAUGGGAGAGGUGAGUGGAACUGCGAGUGUAGAGGUGAAAUUCGUAGAUAUUCGCAAGAACACCAGUGGCGAAGGCGGCUCACUGGCCCAUUACUGACGCUGAGGCACGAAAGCGUGGGGAGCAAACAGGAUUAGAGACCCCUGUAGUCCCUGUCUCUUAUAC